RNAcentral lists this ribosomal RNA (425 nucleotides) under uncultured bacterium. RNAcentral's name for it is "partial 16S ribosomal RNA". It matches the Rfam family "Bacterial small subunit ribosomal RNA", at positions 354 to 796 of the family's 1533-position model. The record is from RNAcentral.
GUUAGGAAUAUUGGACAAUGGGCGCAAGCCUGAUCCAGCCAUGCCGCGUGAGUGAUGAAGGCCUUCGGGUUGUAAAGCUCUUUAGCCGAUGAUUAUAAUGACUGUAGUCGGAAAAUAAGCCCCGGCUAACUUCGUGCCAGCAGCCGCGGUAAUACGAAGGGGGCGAGCGUUAUUCGGAAUCACUGGGCGUAAAGCGUGCGUAGGCGGCUUUGCAAGUUGGGAGUGAAAGCCCAGAGCUCAACCCUUGAAUUGCUCUCAAAACUGCAAGGCUCGAAUUCGGGAGAGGAUAGCGGAAUUGUCAGUGUAGCAGUGAAAUGCGUAGAUAUUGACAGGAACACCAGUGGCGUAAGCGGCUAUCUGGACCGAUAUUGACGCUGAGGCACGAAAGCGUGGGGAUCAAACAGGAUUAGAAACCCGGGUAGUCC